This 513-nucleotide long non-coding RNA is filed under the name Anser brachyrhynchus (Pink-footed goose). RNAcentral's name for it is "lncRNA (ENSABRG00000002106.1)". Lineage: Eukaryota; Metazoa; Chordata; Aves; Anseriformes; Anatidae. The record is from RNAcentral.
CUUGUGCACACCUCGCCAGGAAGGGGGAGAAGCAGCCCUCCUGGAAGUGGGCAGUGAAGGCUUCCAGAAGGAAGAGGGUGAAGCUGGGGAUGCCCAAGGAUAAGCGCAUGCUCUCACUGGAAAGAUCACUCACUAAGCCCAGAAGAAUUUAGCACGAAACUGUUCUGCUGUGACAUCUACCCCCAAGUCUUCUGUUAUUGAGCAACUUCAACAGCGAGCCUCGGCCUAGCUAAACUGCUGCUGCUUGCUGGGCUCUAGUCAGAGAAGCCACCUUUGUUUCUUUGUCUGCUUCUAUUUCCGUGAAGAGAUACAAUAAGAACCAGGAGCACAGAUGCUGUCUUCUCUUGGACUCUGCAGUGUGGCCUGAGUAACAAACAGUGACUUUUUUUUCCUUUUUCCCCCUCAUUACACUGUAAGCGUGCUGAAAGCAGCCAGAGGAAUGAGGCUCUUGGUGCUGUCAUGGCCUACUGGAGCGACAGCAGCCAGUGCUGCGUCCUUCCCGGUGUCUGUCAC